This 138-nucleotide small nucleolar RNA is filed under the name Ornithorhynchus anatinus (platypus). The record is from RNAcentral. Lineage: Eukaryota; Metazoa; Chordata; Mammalia; Monotremata; Ornithorhynchidae.
CCCCUCUCAUGGUCACACCUGGAGAGUUUCCAGGACUCUUCCAGUCUCAGCUAUGGGAGAGAGAGUCAGGCAGAGGCCUACCCUUUCCAUUCCUAGCUUGGGCAGUUGCUAGCGAGUGGAAGGCAAUCUGCUACAAGU